UCUCAGUACCAGGAGGAGGCGUCCGAGGGCAAGUCCACCCUGACGGUUGACCACGUAGAUCUCACCUACCAAGGGGUCUAUAAGUGCAUCGUGCCGAGCAGGAGCCUCCAGCUGGCAAGCCUGCACAUCACGGUGUCUGCCGCCACCUUCGGCACCGACUCGGCCAUUGUCGUCGGGACAGCAGGCUCCCUCCUGGGACUGAUCGUCACGGCCUUUGCCUCACGGCGCCUGUGGAGGCGGCUCCACCCAUGUCAUACUCAGGAGUGCUGACCAGUCCGUUCUUGGGGGGAGAAGCGUCUCCCAUCUCGUCAGUGCUUGGGAGAAACAGAGCGAGAAACCCUCUUUUCCUCUUCGAAAUUCCUACCUGCAUUAUUAGUGACUGCCUGACACCUCUGCUAGGUACCGGAGUCGCCCCUUAGUCACCGGGCGCUGGUCAAUACUGAUUAUGACGACCGACGUGACUCCUUUCACUGGUGAGCUUGCUGGUCGUUAUGGAACACCUGGUACAGUAUUAGACCCAGCCAGGCCCCUGGGGCUGCACCUGUCCAAGGACGGAAGCAGAGGAUCUGGGAAAGCAGAGCUGAGCAGCCCCUCGGCUGAUCGCUCUCUUUCCUUUCCUCCACUUCGCUCCUUGACAGCCUGGUUUCCUCUCCAGCCUGGUGCUGGGACGUGGCACCUGAAGCAGGCGGCGGUGUCAGGGUACGGCAGAUUCCAAAGCAGACCGAUGGACUUUCCCCUCACGGUAUAUUUAAAACUUUCUUCAUUGAAGCUUCCAGCUCGUGAGAGGCUGGUGCGGUGUCCAGAGGGCUGGUCUGAAAUUCUGCCUCCUUCCUCCUUAUGCUGGCUUCUCAGUCGGACAGUCCCUGGGGUCAGUUGCUCCUGGUUUUGUUUCCAAUAUGCUGCAAGCUUCCGGGGGGGAGGAGGGAAUUCCAGGUGCACCAAGGACGGGCUGGGGAUGAGCAAGGGUCAGGGUUAGACCCCUUGGGUUGGGGCCCAAUAACCUGCAGAAAAAUCAGCCAAGGCCACACACGAGAGGCAAAAAAACCCAACCUGCACUGAGUGAGAGAAACCCUCACAGACGUGGCCUCGACAGUCACCUCACUACCCCCAAGCUCGUCUUGGGAGGCGGGAGGCACUGAGGCUCAGGGCCGGAUUCACUCCUCUGGGGGGCUGGGACUAGACCAGACUCUGGGGCCAGGCCAAACAUGAGGGGUUCAGUGUGCAGCAAUGGGCUGUCAGGGAGCAGCUGGAGGUGCAGGAGCAGGAUGAGGGGUCUGGGCAGAAGGCAGGGUGCAGGCGCAGGGUGGGGGUGUGCAGUCUGGGUGGGAGGAGAGGUGCAGGAUGGAGGCACCUAUCUGGUGCAGUUCCUGGGACAGGGAGCAGAUGACUUGUGCCCAUGGCUUGCCUUAAUUGGGUCUCCUAGGCUCCCCCAUGCCCCCACAGCAGGGAGCUGGUGCUCCAGCCAUGGCACCUCCCCACCAGCACCAGUGAGCGAGGGGUGACCUGGAACACGGCAAGCUGCAAGCCAUAGGCUCCCACCCCGCAGCUUAGACCCUUGGAACGGAGUGGAGGCUUCGCAAAUGCACAAGUUACAAACGCUCAGUGGAGCGCUGUGCUGCUCCCUACAGCCAUCUCCAGGCGCUGGAUCUGCUGCAGCUACAGCCUCUCCCUCCGAGACGGGAUUGCAGGCCUCCUGGAGAGGGCUGUGGGGUCGCUGUCUGGUUCCUUCCACGCCAGCCCCAUCUCAAAAACGGGAUGGAAACGGAAGUCGGUUAAUCUGUGUAUUUAAAACAAAUGUCCUAAGAAACCCCUCCCGCGGCUGCUGGUGAAUAAUCCGUAUUGAAGGCUGAGGCAGCAGGAGACCUGCUGUGCGUACGGCGUUUGUUGUACAGGGAGAAUGGCUACGUGAAUAAAGGGGCCGUUUUUACAUCC
Non-coding RNA from Pelodiscus sinensis (Chinese soft-shelled turtle), 1932 nucleotides. NCBI's taxonomy places the organism in Eukaryota, Metazoa, Chordata, Testudines, Trionychidae. The record is from RefSeq and is a predicted model, not a curated record.